Molecule: unclassified non-coding RNA, 784 nt
Filed under: Hevea brasiliensis (rubber tree)
Lineage: Eukaryota; Viridiplantae; Streptophyta; Magnoliopsida; Malpighiales; Euphorbiaceae
Source: RNAcentral
CAUUAAACACCCAUCCAUACUGAUGGGUCAUCAAUCUAUUCAACAGCAUCUCACACUGUUUCAUCACCAUCACAUUUGUAGUGCUUGGUGCUAGAGCCUGCUUUGCAGACUUGAACCUCCCAGAACUACUCCUAUUCCAUUCACGCCCCUUACCUAUAGGAUUUGCCUUCUUCCCUGGCCCAGAGGUCAUCACAGAUGACUUGCUAAAAUUUGCAGCUCGAGGCCCAUUUGCGCCAUUGCUGCAACUGAGAAUGUCACUGGAAGAAGACACUGUAACGGCAUUCACUUUCUGCAACUCCACUUUCUUCUGGAGUAUCCCUAACUGUUCAAGUUCGAAUCUCAACCUAUGUAUUACAACCUUUCUUUCAGAUGGCGACAUGCGUGAUAGGGAAAGGACUUGUUUAGGAACACCAAAAGUAUCCUCUUUAUUUGAAUUUAAAUUAAUGCAUUUCCUUGUAGGGGCACUUGAAUCCUCAGAAGCAGUAACCUCUAUAUCAAUCCGUCCUGAGCUACCAGAACCCUCCAAUUCACCUGCUGUCUCAAAGGCAUUUCCAUAAAACCUUCCAUGGAAUUUAUCAUUCUUCACCAUCAUCUUUUAUUCCAGUAAUUCUUUAGUUCUUCUAUUCACUGGGACAAAACAAUUCGCUUACUACCAACUCUGCAUAUACAAACCAUGGGAAUAACGUUACCCCCACAUACUUCCACAUAGCCUUAUCUAGCUGCUGUGUGGCUUGAACAAGACAUGAUAAGGCUCCAUUGAGUUUGGACAAAAACAUUUCACCAU